Pantherophis guttatus is the source of this 1026-nucleotide non-coding RNA. NCBI's taxonomy places the organism in Eukaryota, Metazoa, Chordata, Lepidosauria, Squamata, Colubridae. The record is from RefSeq and is a predicted model, not a curated record.
CAUAAGAGCCUUACUAGGCUCAGCCAGUGAUCUGUUUAGCUCAGUGUUCUGUGUCACAUGCUAACAACCCAGAUGCAUCCAGGAAGCUCACAGACUUAGACAGGAGGUUGUUGCUGGGGAUGGAAACUGGGAGACCUAACAUUACUACCAUCUGACAUCCAGUUCCUCAGACCCUACCCACUGAGACAAGUCCUUAGGUGGCCUAUCCUUUUGAGACAUCUUGCCGUUUUAGCAAUCAAAGCAAAAAGAAUCAGGAGAGGAAACUUGUAGUUCAAACAAGCCUUUACAGCACAUAUCUUGCUCAACAAAGCCUGAUGAAUCACACUAAACGGAGGUUGCAGAACCAAGGUCAUCAUAACACUGGGACUGUUGUGGAGGGCUACUGCCCUGGCCCCCUGCUGCUGCCCACAUACAUUCCCUACUCCCAUUGAUGCCACCCUGCCCCCCACCACUGAUGCCCUGCUCCCGGCUACUGAUGACUUCCUGCCCUUCUCUGACAGUGGCAGGACUGGAACAGCCAAUGGGCCAGAUGUCGCCUGCAGGCCAUUAAAUCCCCAGGCAAUAAACUGAAUGAUAUGGCAGUCCUUCAGAUUCAAAGAAGACAUUCUGCUCUGCAGUUCACCUAUGUCAUGGAAAUGGCAGCCCCAGCCUAAAAAACGCAGAGUCUAGUACAGUGGGAGAAUUGGAACUCCAUUGUUGUAAUAACUGGGGGUUAUUUUUAUUUUGAAAAAUAUUACAUGCAAGCUAAAAAUUUUAUAGAGUGUUAGUGAUUCCAGCUCUAUUCUGUAGUAGCCUUAGUUAAGUUUAACAUGAUUUACUAACUAAAUAUAUACAGGAUUACUACUUAAUGCAAACUAUGCAUUGUAAUAUAUUAAGAUAGUAGACUGUUAAUUUGUCAGAUGGUGUUUAAUUCUGGGUAACCUUGUAAAAUAGUUACAUUAUGUGCUUUAUUGUUGACUCCUCAAAAUACAUUUAUAUUGCAUAAAGUGUCCAGUGUGCUUUAUGGAAUAAAUUGCUAAAUUUGGA